UAUUAAGUAUUAAGUAUUUAGUGUUUAGUUUAAGUAUUUAGUAAUAAGUUUAAGUAUUUAGUAUUAAGAAUAAGUAUUUAGUGUUAAGAGUUAGUAUUUAGUUGAGUUAAGUUUACUUUCAUUGAUCUUAAUGUAUCUCACCACUGAUGAAUUGUCUUCCUCUGAAUCAGUUCCUGCUCCUCUGUUAACAGUCUUCUUACUCCAGCUUCAGCCUCAACAGCAACAGUUAUCACCUGCCAGAACACCUGCUCCACCCUCCAGCCUCCACCUGUUACUUCUACCAGACAAAACAUCAGCCUUGAGCUGCAGCCUGUGAGAUGACAGACUCCUCUCCACCUGUAGCCUCUGUCUCUCUGUUGCCUACAUCCUCUACCAGCAGCUUCAGCAUCAAACUGCUGCCUCACUCUUCACCUGCAGCCUCUGUCAGCAACCUGCAGCCAUCUCCUCCAACUGCACAUUCUGUUGAAUAACUGAUGGCUGAACCUCCAUCUACAGCCUUUGCCAGUGCCUAUACCUCUCGAAGUGAACUGCUAUCCGAGCCUCCACCCACAGCCUCUGUCAGCAACCUGCAGCUUCCGCCUCCACCUGCAGAUUCCUACAGCCAUCUGAAGACGACCACUGGGGGAGUGGUCGUCUUCAGAUGAAGAUCCCCACAGAAAGCUGUGGCCAAACCUCCACCUACAGCCUCUAUAAGGAAACCUGCACAGAUGUUAUCCUACUGCCAUGUGGAGACCUGAGUGGAGCAGCAAGGACCAGAGAAACACACGUGUUUUCAAACGUUGUGAAAGACUGAGCUCACACUCCUCAACAUGAACCUGACUGACUGUGAUGCCUUCAUGAAACGAGAGAGCUCCACUGUACGUACAGUAUAGCAAUCUACCAGGAGCUGCUUCAGGGCCCUGAGGACAACUCCUUUUACAACAGCUCUGUUCCAGAGAUGCUUCCUCCUCCUCCACAUCCUCCACCUUCACCACCCCUCCUGCUCAUCGCCAGAACUAAGAGUGCCCCACCCCAUCUCAGCAACCACCACCAGUUUCUCCUGCAGCCACCGCCUCCAUAUGUAGAUUCUGACAGACACUGCUGACAGCCAAACCUCCUCCCACAGCUUCUGCCAGUGCACCUGCGUCUACACCUCUUGAAGCCAACUGCGGCUGAACCUCCACCCACAGCCUCUGUCAGCAACCUGAACCAGCACCUACACCUCUCGUACACUACUGCCAUCCAAACCUCCACCUGUAACCUUUGCCAGCCGCCUGAAGACACCUCCUCCACCUGAAGAUCCCCACAGAAAGCUGGGGUCAAACCUCCACCUUCCGCCUCUAUAAGGAAACCUGCACAGAUGUUAUCCUACUGCUAUGGUUGGAUCUAAGUGGAACAGCAACGACCAGAGAAACACUGGUGUUUCCAUACGUUGUGUGAAAGACUGAGCACACACUCCUCAACAUGAACCUGACUGAUUGUGAUGAUGCCUUCAUGAAACAGAAAGAGCUCCUCUUCCUCCCACUUGCCUUGUUGGACUUCCAGAUCAAGAGAUGCUUCCUCCUCCCUAUCGUGCACGUUCACCACCCUUCCUGCUCAUUGCCAGGACUAAAAAUGCCCCUCCCCAUCUCUGCAACCACCAGCACUUUCUACGCAUGCCGAUUCAUUGAAGGCCAAAGAUUGCAGAGACGCUCCACCCGAGACUUCAGUGCCUUACUUUUCCAACAACGCCCCCUAAUACGACGUCCAAUGUGCUCUUUUAAGCCUCUGCACUGUUUUACAAUAAAUG
Gymnodraco acuticeps is the source of this 1768-nucleotide long non-coding RNA. RefSeq lists it as uncharacterized. Lineage: Eukaryota; Metazoa; Chordata; Actinopteri; Perciformes; Bathydraconidae. The record is from RefSeq and is a predicted model, not a curated record. The transcript has 5 exons.